AUAUAGUUUUUUUAAGGCUAGGUGGGGCUGUUAGGAGCUAUGGAGAGGAUAUUCUCCUAGUUCCAGAUGAGGACACUUGGCAAAAGGGGGAUAUUGGGUUUGUUGAGGGCAGCAGAUAUUCCCUGCAGGUGACACGUUUCGAAGAGGGAUUCCUUCUUCUUUUAGGCGGGUUAGUGGGCUGAAAAGCAUUGCUUCUUCUUUUAGGCGGGUAAGUGAGCUGAAAAGCAAGAGUAACCAGCAGGUGACGGGAGUAGUGGGUUUUCCUGGCCGUCGGGAGACUCUGGGAGGAAGAAAAAGGAAAAGUAGGAGAACCGGAAAAGAGGGAGGAGCUGGUACCUGAGAGAGGAAAACAGAGAGCUAGAAAGGAGCACCGGGAGAAAGAGAGGAGAAAGGAUUCAUCAGUCUGCAUUUUCCUGGAGGUAAGUUCUUCACUGUAACACCCCUGCUCCUUUUCAAAAAUGCCCCCAAGUGUUCCCUUUCACUCAUACCUCUCUGACUCUCUCCUUCAUUCUCCUCCUCCAUCGCUCUCCAUCCGAGACUACACAGUAGGAAAGAUGCUCCACUUUCAUUCGACAUCGUUCAUCGGAUCGAAGGCAUGCUUAUUCUUUCUAUUCAUCAUUUUGAGCUCUAUGUCAACAGCAGUUGCCACGGAUCAGCUCCAUUUUCGAUGGAAAUAUGAGAAGCAAGGAAACAUUCCUAUCAUUGCUAUCAUUGUAUUAAUUGUAAUAGUUAGUAUAUUUGUUUUAUGUUUUAUUAUAUAUAGGAUAUGUUUUAAAAAUAACAAAGAAAAUGAGAAUCAACCACAAAAUCAAGAUGAAGUAGGAAAUAUAGAACUCAACGGAGUUUAAAUAAAAUUAUUUCAUAUUUCUAUAUUUUCCAUUGAGGGUGAGUGUGAUUCUGAGUGUUGUAUAUAUUAUGAUGAAUUUAUAGACGAAUAUGAGAUUAUGAUUCUUUCCAUUUGCA
Long non-coding RNA from Vitis vinifera (wine grape), 963 nucleotides. RefSeq lists it as uncharacterized. The transcript is spliced from 2 exons. The record is from RefSeq and is a predicted model, not a curated record. Lineage: Eukaryota; Viridiplantae; Streptophyta; Magnoliopsida; Vitales; Vitaceae.